This is a non-coding RNA of Paramuricea clavata, 258 nucleotides long. The record is from the annotation of a GenBank genome assembly. Lineage: Eukaryota; Metazoa; Cnidaria; Anthozoa; Malacalcyonacea; Plexauridae.
UUCCUUUGUGGCUUUUUUUACCAGUUAGACCGGAAUAAUUUACUCGUUUGCCCCCCUCCGCCCCCCAAAACAAUGUUGGACGCUUUAUCCGUAUUCUACGAAUCCAAUCAACAUUGAAUGGUGGGGGAAAGGGGGAGGUUUUCUAAAUUUACGAUAACAUUACGAUAUUUUGUCAAGUAUAAUUGGAAGUGUCGCAGAUGUUUUGUCCAGGAUUGUAGCCUAAACAAAAAUUUCAUCACAGCUUGAAAGAGCAUCACA